This 467-nucleotide ribosomal RNA is filed under the name uncultured bacterium. RNAcentral's name for it is "partial 16S ribosomal RNA". It matches the Rfam family "Bacterial small subunit ribosomal RNA", at positions 29 to 507 of the family's 1533-position model. The record is from RNAcentral.
ACGCACGCUGGCGGCGUGCUUCACCCCUGCCAGUCGAACGGAAAGGCCCUGCUUUUGUGGGGUGCUCGAGUGGCGAACGGGUGAGUAACACGUGAGUAACCUGCCCUUGACUUUGGGAUAACUUCAGGAAACUGGGGCUAAUACCGGAUAGGAGCUCCUGCUGCAUGGUGGGGGUUGGAAAGUUUCGGCGGUUGGGGAUGGACUCGCGGCUUAUCAGCUUGUUGGUGGGGUAGUGGCUUACCAAGGCUUUGGCGGGUAGCCGGCCUGGGAGGGUGAACGGGCACCUUGGGACUGAGAUACGGCCCAGACUCCUACGGGAGGCAGCAGUGGGGAAUAUUGCACAAUGGGCGGAAGCCUGAUACAACAACGCCGCGUGCGGGAUGACGGCCUUCGGGUUGUAAACCGCUUUCGCCUGUGACGAAGCGUGAGUGACGGUAAUGGGUAAAGAAGCACCGGCUAACUACGUG